Molecule: long non-coding RNA, 486 nt
Filed under: Pongo abelii (Sumatran orangutan)
Lineage: Eukaryota; Metazoa; Chordata; Mammalia; Primates; Hominidae
Description: lncRNA (ENSPPYG00000035376.1)
Source: RNAcentral
GACUGCUGGGCAUGCAUGAAGUUAAGGGCAAGAAACAGUAUGCCAUGUGUUCUGUACCAUCAUGUGUCUCUUCUUGCUUCUGGGCCCUUCUACUGGUGAACUUUAAUCAAGAUCUGCGCCAUGCCGUGUCACUGUCAAGCCAUUAAGUUUUGUCUGGGUUGCUGUCAGCCCCAGUUGGCUUCGUGGUCAACAAGGACCUCAAGAACUGCCUGUGGACCGAGGCCCCCUACCAGUGCAUGAGACACACACCUACCCUCCCCAGCUUUCCAGGAACCCUACUGGCUGCCAGACUGAUGGGCGGGCUGGUAUGUGUGGACAUGUGUUCACUCUCUUUAUGCUGUGGUUCCAGGAUGUAACCAGCGAGGCCAAGGACUCCUAAGAAUCGCCUGGUUUAUUCCUGUUCCCCUAACACGCUGGCUCCCACGUGCUGGCCUUGGACCCUGGGAGGGCUGAAGGGUUACUGCAGUAGGUCUAGGAAGCCACGAG